GAGGGUAUACCUCAAUGGUAGAGUGCAUGCUUACUCUGCAUGACGUCCUGGGUUCAAUCCCCAGUACCUCCA
Molecule: transfer RNA, 72 nt
Filed under: Camelus bactrianus (Bactrian camel)
Lineage: Eukaryota; Metazoa; Chordata; Mammalia; Artiodactyla; Camelidae
Also listed under: 2 other names
Rfam family: tRNA
About the family: Transfer RNA (tRNA) molecules are approximately 80 nucleotides in length. Their secondary structure includes four short double-helical elements and three loops (D, anti-codon, and T loops). Further hydrogen bonds mediate the characteristic L-shaped molecular structure. tRNAs have two regions of fundamental functional importance: the anti-codon, which is responsible for specific mRNA codon recognition, and the 3' end, to which the tRNAs corresponding amino acid is attached (by aminoacyl-tRNA synthetases). tRNAs cope with the degeneracy of the genetic code in two manners: having more than one tRNA (with a specific anti-codon) for a particular amino acid; and 'wobble' base-pairing, i.e. permitting non-standard base-pairing at the 3rd anti-codon position.
Source: Rfam by way of RNAcentral